UGUUUUAACAAGUCUCGUCAAC
This 22-nucleotide non-coding RNA is filed under the name Rattus norvegicus (Norway rat). The record is from RNAcentral. Lineage: Eukaryota; Metazoa; Chordata; Mammalia; Rodentia; Muridae.